AACGCACAUUGCGCCCCUUGGUAUUCCGGGGGGCACGCCUGUUCAAGCGUCAUUAACACCACUCAAGCACUGCUUGGUACUGGGACACGCCAGCGAUGGCCGUCCCCAAUUCCAGUGGUGGCGCCGCUGAAUCCCAAGCGUAGUACAUACCCUCGCUCCGGGAAUCGGCGGUCGACGACCCAGCAAGCCUCUCACAGGUUGACCUCGGAUCAGGUAGGAAUACCCGCUGAACUUAA
Molecule: unclassified non-coding RNA, 236 nt
Filed under: uncultured fungus
Lineage: Eukaryota; Fungi
Description: partial contains 5.8S ribosomal RNA, internal transcribed spacer 2, and large subunit ribosomal RNA
Source: RNAcentral